Molecule: ribosomal RNA, 253 nt
Filed under: uncultured bacterium
Lineage: Bacteria
Description: partial 16S ribosomal RNA
Rfam family: Bacterial small subunit ribosomal RNA
Source: RNAcentral
UACGGAGGGUGCAAACGUUGCUCGGAAUCAUUGGGCGUAAAGCGCACGUAGGCGGACUGUUAAGUCGGAUGUGAAAUCCCUCAGCUUAACUGAGGAAGUGCACUCGAAACUGGCAGUCUUGAGUAUGGAAGAGGGUCGCGGAAUUCCCGGUGUAGAGGUGAAAUUCGUAGGUAUCGGGAGGAACACCAGUGGCGAAGGCGGCGACCUGGGCCAAUACUGACGCUGAGGUGCGAAAGCGUGGGGAGCAAACAGG